UACGUAGGGACCGAGCGUUGUCCGGAAUCAUUGGGCGUAAAGAGCGUGUAGGCGGCCACUUAAGUCCUGCGUGAAAUCUUGCGGCUCAACCGCAAGCGGUCGUGGGAAACUGGGUGGCUAGAGUGCGGGAGAGGAGAGUGGAAUUCCUGGUGUAGCGGUGGAAUGCGCAGAUAUCAGGAGGAACACCGGUGGCGAAGGCGGUUCUCUGGGCCUGACCUGACGCUGAGGAGCGAAAGCGUGGGGAGCGAACAGG
Molecule: ribosomal RNA, 253 nt
Filed under: uncultured bacterium
Lineage: Bacteria
Description: partial 16S ribosomal RNA
Rfam family: Bacterial small subunit ribosomal RNA
Source: RNAcentral